UUGAACGUCUACAUAUCCCCCUGAAUAAUUGGGAGAUGGCAUCUAGCAAGGAACACUUUGGCAUAAAGACCCUUCAAAGCUGUGACUAUCUGCUUAGCACUGUUUUUGUUGAACCUGGUUCAUCAGCUUAAACUCCUGUCAACAGCAAAGUAAGGUCCCUAGUUCAGGAGGUUGAACUGAAUGAUGCUGAAAUUGCUAGGCUUUUAA
This 207-nucleotide long non-coding RNA is filed under the name Nicotiana benthamiana. Its description in RNAcentral is "long non-coding RNA (NBEN_LNC016733)". Lineage: Eukaryota; Viridiplantae; Streptophyta; Magnoliopsida; Solanales; Solanaceae. The record is from RNAcentral.